This is a long non-coding RNA of Etheostoma cragini (Arkansas darter), 667 nucleotides long. RefSeq lists it as uncharacterized. The record is from RefSeq and is a predicted model, not a curated record. The transcript is spliced from 3 exons. Lineage: Eukaryota; Metazoa; Chordata; Actinopteri; Perciformes; Percidae.
GGCAUCGGGGGGUUGUGUGUUCCGAUUUUUAAAGUUUGUCAGGCACUGCAAGCAAACGGGGACUAGGUCAGGGAAUUGGGUAAUUAGAUAAAAGUGGCAUCAGCUAAAUGAUAAGUCUGAUGCUAUUUCAUGUUUUUCUAUUUUCAUCAAUUCUCAUGAAAAGACUAACACUAACAACGUGUUGGUUCAUCUCGCACGCAAAAUUCUUUGACUUUCCUAAGAUGACGGUGACACUCCAAUUCCAUUGGUUCCUGCCCAAGAUGUUCAUGUUUAAAAGAGCUAUGCAGAUAUAAUUAAUUUGAAACAAAACAAGAAACAGCUGGCUAUUGUAGUUUUACAUUGUUACUCAAACAGGAGGAAUGAGUGUAUUUCUUGGGGACUAUAUUCAACGGCGGAUUAAUCCACAUUGUAGUUUUAGUGUUUAUCUCAGGCAGCAGGAUGGUGUAUGUGCUACUGAAUCUAAAUAUACCACAGUGUGUGUGUGUGUGUGUGUGUUUUCAUGAUAAUGAAUGAACAUGUCACGCAGUGCAAGAGUGUGACUUAAUUUAAUUUAAUUUUAAGCUUUGUGGGCCAGAGGAAGAUUUUAUCAGGCUUUUAGUGCGUUGUAUUUAUACUCAGAAGUCGGAAACACGCCCCCCUGAAGUUUUCAUUAUCAAACACGGCUGCC